AGGGAUGUAGUUAUUCAAUAACAUUUAAUUUGCAAUUAAAAAGAACUUUGUAAGUCUUCCUUA
Molecule: transfer RNA, 63 nt
Filed under: Malcus setosus
Lineage: Eukaryota; Metazoa; Arthropoda; Insecta; Hemiptera; Malcidae
Description: tRNA-Ala
Source: RNAcentral